Molecule: ribosomal RNA, 109 nt
Organism: Anser brachyrhynchus (Pink-footed goose)
Lineage: Eukaryota; Metazoa; Chordata; Aves; Anseriformes; Anatidae
Source: Ensembl
AACGCCAUACCAGGCUGGCAUGGGAUCCCAUGUCAUCUUACCAGCUUAGCAGGGUUGGGCUAGGUCAGCACUUGCCUAAGAGACCUCUCAGAGUACCUGGCUGGCGAUG